This 464-nucleotide ribosomal RNA is filed under the name Vreelandella stevensii. RNAcentral's name for it is "partial 16S ribosomal RNA". It matches the Rfam family "Bacterial small subunit ribosomal RNA", at positions 338 to 795 of the family's 1533-position model. Lineage: Bacteria; Pseudomonadati; Pseudomonadota; Gammaproteobacteria; Oceanospirillales; Halomonadaceae. The record is from RNAcentral.
CCUACGGGCGGCAGCAGUGGGGAAUAUUGGACAAUGGGGCAACCCUGAUCCAGCCAUGCCGCGUGUGUGAAGAAGGCCCUCGGGUUGUAAAGCACUUUCAGUGAGGAAGAACGCCUGGUGGUUAAUACCCAUCAGGAAAGACAUCACUCACAGAAGAAGCACCGGCUAACUCCGUGCCAGCAGCCGCGGUAAUACGGAGGGUGCGAGCGUUAAUCGGAAUUACUGGGCGUAAAGCGCGCGUAGGUGGCUUGAUAAGCCGGUUGUGAAAGCCCCGGGCUCAACCUGGGAACGGCAUCCGGAACUGUCAAGCUAGAGUGCAGGAGAGGAAGGUAGAAUUCCCGGUGUAGCGGUGAAAUGCGUAGAGAUCGGGAGGAAUACCAGUGGCGAAGGCGGCCUUCUGGACUGACACUGACACUGAGGUGCGAAAGCGUGGGUAGCAAACAGGAUUAGAUACCCGUGUAGUC